Long non-coding RNA from Juglans regia (Persian walnut), 740 nucleotides. RefSeq lists it as uncharacterized. The transcript has 3 exons. The record is from RefSeq and is a predicted model, not a curated record. Lineage: Eukaryota; Viridiplantae; Streptophyta; Magnoliopsida; Fagales; Juglandaceae.
ACUGAUCCUUCUCCCACGGUUUCCUUCAAUUUCUUCAUUUCCACAUUUUCCUCCAUACCGUUACGCACCUAACCCAUGAUCUUGCAGUUGAAUUGGUUUCUCCUCACAUCAAAAACCCUCAUCCCCCUGCAGAUACAUCUUCUUUCCUUCUCCUCUCAACCUCUCUCCCUUAACUGUGCGAAUAGCCACUGGAAUUGGAGCAUCACCGUCGACCACCUCCACACGAUUUUGUGUCGCCGUCGACCCCUCUCACCGGAAGUGCUAACGUUGUGACAUUGAUAGAGUUCGAGUCUAAAGUUUAAGUAACUCUCUGCAAUGAUCAGCUACAAAAGACUGAUCUUGCACUAAGGAAGAAAUGAUCCGACAAAUUUGGUAAAGGCUUAGAGCAUUACUUUGGGAAACUAGUUCUUUCAAGUCUUCGCAUACAACAGAGCCAAAAUCAGUGUAGAUAACACUAAUGGCAAGAUCAGCAUCAACUGAAUUGAGAAUCCAAGAUUAAGCCAUGUCAUUUCAUCAUUGCCACAGUGCAGAUUCGUCCGGAUACUUGGUUGGGUCUAGUCUAUAAAGUCCCAAUUUACUUUUUGCACUUGAAGCCAUUCACAUGGCUCGACUUCAAGUUGAAUAGUUGUCUCUGGUUAAUGAACGAGGGUAUGUUUGUAGGGUGAGAUGAGAAUUUUGUGUUUUGUUUUGUAUUUAAAAUAUUUUAUCUUAAUAUUAUUAUUGUUUUGAGAUUUAAAAAA